AUUGAACGCUGGCGGCAUGCCUUACACAUGCAAGUCGAACGGUAACAGGUCUUCGGAUGCUGACGAGUGGCGAACGGGUGAGUAAUACAUCGGAACGUGCCUAGUAGUGGGGGAUAACUACUCGAAAGAGUGGCUAAUACCGCAUGAGAUCUACGGAUGAAAGCAGGGGAUCGCAAGACCUUGUGCUACUAGAGCGGCCGAUGGCAGAUUAGGUAGUUGGUGGGAUAAAAGCUUACCAAGCCGACGAUCUGUAGCUGGUCUGAGAGGACGAUCAGCCAGAAUGGGACUGAGACACGGCCCAGACUCCUACGGGAGGCAGCAGUGGGGAAUUUUGGACAAUGGGCGGAAGCCUGAUCCAGCAAUGCCGCGUGCAGGAUGAAGGCCUUCGGGUUGUAAACUGCUUUUGUACGGAACGAAAAGCCCCGGGUUAAUACCCUGGGGUCAUGACGGUACCGUAAGAAUAAGCACCGGCUAACUACGUGCCAGCAGCCGCCGUAA
RNAcentral lists this ribosomal RNA (498 nucleotides) under uncultured bacterium. RNAcentral describes it as "partial 16S ribosomal RNA". It matches the Rfam family "Bacterial small subunit ribosomal RNA", at positions 30 to 523 of the family's 1533-position model. The record is from RNAcentral.